This 1443-nucleotide ribosomal RNA is filed under the name metagenome. Its description in RNAcentral is "bacterial SSU rRNA". It matches the Rfam family "Bacterial small subunit ribosomal RNA". The record is from RNAcentral.
GGUAUGCUUAACACAUGCAAGUCGAACGCGCGAGUAACCAAGCUUGCUUGGUUAUGAGUGAGUGGCAAACGGGUGAGUAACGCGUGGGGAUUUCCCCUUCAGUAAGGAAUAACCCCCGGAAACGGGAGCUAAUACCUUAUAUUCUCUAACAAGAGGAAAGAUUUAUUCGCUGAGGGAUAAACCCGCGUCAGAUUAGAUAGUUGGUGGGGUAAUGGCCUACCAAGUCGAUGAUCUGUAGCUGGUCUUAGAGGAUGAUCAGCCACACUGGAACUGAGACACGGUCCAGACUCCUACGGGAGGCAGCAGUGAGGAAUAUUGGGCAAUGGGCGGAAGCCUGACCCAGCAAUACCGCGUGAGUGAAGAAGGCCUUAGGGUUGUAGAGCUCUUUUAGUGGGGAAGAUGAUGACGGUACCCACAGAAAAAGUCCCGGCUAACUCCGUGCCAGCAGCCGCGGUAAUACGGAGGGGGCUAGCGUUAUUCGGAAUUAUUGGGCGUAAAGAGCGUGUAGGUGGUUUGGUAAGUUAGGAGUGAAAUCCCGGGGCUUAACCCCGGAACUGCUUCUAAAACUGCUGACUAGAGUGCGGUAGGGGGUAAUGGAAUUCCUAGUGUAGAGGUAAAAUUCUUAGAUAUUAGGAGGAACACCAAAGGCGAAGGCAGUUACCUGGGCCGAUACUGACACUGAGACGCGAAAGUGUGGGUAGCAAACAGGAUUAGAUACCCUGGUAGUCCACACCCUAAACGAUGAAUGCUAGAUUUCGGGGGAAUUCUCCUUCGGUUUCGCAGCUAACGCAUUAAGCAUUCCGCCUGGGGAGUACGGUCGCAAGACUAAAACUCAAAGGAAUUGACGGGGGUCCGCACAAGCGGUGGAGCAUGCGGUUUAAUUCGAUGCUACGCGAAAAACCUUACCAAUCCUUGACAUGGUAGUCGUAAGUAAUAGAGAUAUUACUGUCAAUUCGGUUGGACUGCACACAGGUGUUGCAUGGCUGUCGUCAGCUCGUGUCGUGAGAUGUUGGGUUAAGUCCCUUAACGAGCGCAACCCCUAUCCUUAUUUGCCAGCGAGUAAAGUCGGGAACUAUAAGGAAACCGCCAGCGAUAAGCUGGAGGAAGGUGGGGAUGAGGUCAAGUCAUCAUGGCCCUUAUGGAUUGGGCUACACGCGUGCUACAAUGGUGAUAACAGAGGGGAGCGAUACGGUAACGUAAAGCCGAUCCCUAACUGUCAUCUUAGUUCGGAUUGUACUCUGCAACUCGAGUACAUGAAGUUGGAAUCGCUAGUAAUCGCGGAUCAGCAUGCCGCGGUGAAUACGUUCUCGGACCUUGUACACACUGCCCGUCGCACCACGAGAGUUGGUCAUACCUUAAGUUCGUGAGCUAACGUUUGCCGCAAGGCGAGCGAGGCAGCGAACCACGGUGGGGCUAGCGAUUGGGGUGAAGUCGUAACAAGGU